Chelonia mydas (Green sea turtle) is the source of this 210-nucleotide long non-coding RNA. RefSeq lists it as uncharacterized. The record is from RefSeq and is a predicted model, not a curated record. The transcript has 3 exons. NCBI's taxonomy places the organism in Eukaryota, Metazoa, Chordata, Testudines, Cheloniidae.
GCAGGACUCUGGGGCAGUCUCCUUCCUGUGAGCAGCCUGUCUGCAGGACACACAGCUCACACAGCUUCCACCUUCCUGGGUCUGACCUCGGAGCAUUCAGCAUCCUCUUCCCCUCCGUGCGCUUCCGACAGCGAGUCUGCUCAGGCGGGGAUCCCGGGGAAGCCAGAGGGUCCUGCCCCCCAACUUCUCAGCCUGGCCACUGCCUGGUCC